This 85-nucleotide transfer RNA is filed under the name Actinomycetota bacterium. RNAcentral's name for it is "tRNA-Ser". It matches the Rfam family "tRNA". From Rfam's summary of the family: Transfer RNA (tRNA) molecules are approximately 80 nucleotides in length. Their secondary structure includes four short double-helical elements and three loops (D, anti-codon, and T loops). The record is from RNAcentral. Lineage: Bacteria; Bacillati; Actinomycetota.
GGAGGGAUGGCAGAGCGGACGAAUGCGCGGCUCUUGAAAAGCCGUGAGGCGCGAGCCUCCGUGGGUUCGAAUCCCACUCCCUCCG